AACGAACGCUGGCGGCAUGCCUAACACAUGCAAGUCGAACGAUUGCCUUCGGGUGAUAGUGGCGCACGGGUGCGUAACGCGUGGGAAUCUGCCCUUAGGUUCUGAAUAACAGCUGGAAACGGCUGCUAAUACCUGAUGAUAUCGCGAGAUCAAAGAUUUAUCGCCUGAGGAUGAGCCCGCGUUGGAUUAGGUAGUUGGUGGGGUAAAGGCCUACCAAGCCGACGAUCCAUAGCUGGUCUGAGAGGAUGAUCAGCCACACUGGGACUGAGACACGGCCCAGACUCCUACGGGAGGCAGCAGUGGGGAAUAUUGGACAAUGGGCGCAAGCCUGAUCAAGCAAUGCCGCGUGAGUGAUGAAGGCCCUAGGGUUGUAAAGCUCUUUUACACGGGAAGAUAAUGGCUGUACCGGGAGAAUAAGCCCCGGCUAACUCCGUG
Molecule: ribosomal RNA, 435 nt
Filed under: uncultured bacterium
Lineage: Bacteria
Description: partial 16S ribosomal RNA
Rfam family: Bacterial small subunit ribosomal RNA
Source: RNAcentral